GCAGUCGAACGGUGAACACGGAGCUUGCUCUGUGGGAUCAGUGGCGAACGGGUGAGUAACACGUGAGCAACCUGCCCCUGACUCUGGGAUAAGCGCUGGAAACGGCGUCUAAUACUGGAUAUGUGACGUGACCGCAUGGUCUGCGUCUGGAAAGAAUUUCGGUUGGGGAUGGGCUCGCGGCCUAUCAGCUUGUUGGUGAGGUAAUGGCUCACCAAGGCGUCGACGGGUAGCCGGCCUGAGAGGGUGACCGGCCACACUGGGACUGAGACACGGCCCAGACUCCUACGGGAGGCAGCAGUGGGGAAUAUUGCACAAUGGGCGCAAGCCUGAUGCAGCAACGCCGCGUGAGGGACGACGGCCUUCGGGUUGUAAACCUCUUUUAGCAGGGAAGAAGCGAAAGUGACGGUACCUGCAGAAAAAGCGCCGGCUAACUACGUGCCAGCAGCCGCGGUAAUACGUAGGGCGCAAGCGUUAUCCGGAAUUAUUGGGCGUAAAGAGCUCGUAGGCGGUUUGUCGCGUCUGCUGUGAAAUCCGGAGGCUCAACCUCCGGCCUGCAGUGGGUACGGGCAGACUAGAGUGCGGUAGGGGAGAUUGGAAUUCCUGGUGUAGCGGUGGAAUGCGCAGAUAUCAGGAGGAACACCGAUGGCGAAGGCAGAUCUCUGGGCCGUAACUGACGCUGAGGAGCGAAAGGGUGGGGAGCAAACAGGCUUAG
This 712-nucleotide ribosomal RNA is filed under the name Microbacterium sp. M290. RNAcentral's name for it is "bacterial SSU rRNA". It matches the Rfam family "Bacterial small subunit ribosomal RNA", at positions 57 to 781 of the family's 1533-position model. Lineage: Bacteria; Bacillati; Actinomycetota; Actinomycetes; Micrococcales; Microbacteriaceae. The record is from RNAcentral.